UGCAGCACCGGGUUAGCAAUAAAACCGUGUUUUCUUUAGAAAAACAGCAAAAAUGAUCCAGAACAUGGUCACAUGUCAGUAAUGUUGAAUCCCAAAAUAGAAAUGGUACAUUCCAGUGUCCAAACUGGUUGCAUAACUUCUGCAUUUUCACACAUUUUGCUUCUACAAAGUUAGCCUGCAUAUACACCGAUCAGCCAUAACAUUAAAACCACCUGCUUAAAGGUUGUCUAAGUCUCUCUUGUGCUGCAAAAAACAGCUCUGACUCUCCAAGGCCUGAACUCCACAAGUCCUCUGAAGGUGUGCUGUGGUUUCUGUCACCAAGACACCAAUAGUGACUCCUUUAUGUUCUGCAAGUGGUGAGGUGAAGCCUCAGUGGAUCAGACUUGAGUGUCCAGUAUAUCCCACAGACACUCAGACUGAGAUCUGGGGAAUCUGGAGGCCAAGUCAACACCGUGAACGGUCAUGUUCCUCAAACCGUUCCUGAACGAUUUCUGCAGAGUGGCAGUGCACAUCAUCCUGCUGAAAGAGGACAUUAGCCACCAUACACUUUUUCAGCAGUAGCUCUUCUGGAGGAUGCGAGCAGACAGGCUAGCCUUCGCUCCACAUACACAUCAGUGAGUCUUGGGUGUCCAUGACCGUGUCCAUGGUUCAGCGGUUGUCUUUCAUUGGAGCACUUUUGACACAUCUGAAAACCCUUGGCCUUGUGAAUCUCGUACACACAAAAUGCAUGUGGAGUUUGGACUUUUAAAGUAUGGACUUCGCAGUGACGAUGUGAUUAACAGGAUUAUCAAGGCUAGGAUUCUUGCCAUUCCUUGGCUAAUAUCAGUUAUGCAGGUAAGUUAAAGAUUCCUGGAAAAAAGCUUCCUACAGGUUACACAAAAACCACACAAC
Molecule: long non-coding RNA, 891 nt
Organism: Hemibagrus wyckioides
Lineage: Eukaryota; Metazoa; Chordata; Actinopteri; Siluriformes; Bagridae
Exons: 3
Source: RefSeq, a predicted model, not a curated record